RNAcentral lists this unclassified non-coding RNA (323 nucleotides) under Hevea brasiliensis (rubber tree). The record is from RNAcentral. Lineage: Eukaryota; Viridiplantae; Streptophyta; Magnoliopsida; Malpighiales; Euphorbiaceae.
CUCUCUCUUCUCUCUCUCUCUCUCCAAAUUUCAGCUUCUUCAAUGGAAGGAAACACAGAAAAGUUAGAGAAACCGGUGUUUAUUGAUUGAUGAAGAUGAACCCAUCAAGAACUAUGAAGAGAGAAGAGUUUUUGUUUUAUUUUAUCACUUAUCAGAGAAAUGCAAGCGUUGAGAAAAUCGAAAAAGUGGGGUUCGUGAUUUUUGUUCCAGAGCAAGAGAGAAUCAAUUUAGUUGGUUGAUAUCUCUCCGCUACUCCCUCUAUAUCUCUCUCUGAGUUUGGAGAGUGGAAAGCUAACGGAGGAUAUCUCUCUCUCUCUCUCUCU